This is a long non-coding RNA of Tachysurus fulvidraco (yellow catfish), 473 nucleotides long. RefSeq lists it as uncharacterized. The record is from RefSeq and is a predicted model, not a curated record. NCBI's taxonomy places the organism in Eukaryota, Metazoa, Chordata, Actinopteri, Siluriformes, Bagridae. The transcript is spliced from 3 exons.
AUGGCCGGUCUACCUCCUGCUACUAAUGUGGAGCUGCUCCACCAGUGGUGGCGCACUACUACAUCAGGUCCAUAGUCCAGUAGUACUGUAUGUUGUUAUGUUUGUGCCUAAUGUUUGUCCAACUGGGGGAGGACAAAAGAUCUUGCAAUGUGGCAUCCCUUAGACUGCUCUUGCCCAUAAUGGAUGCUGCCUCCUCACACUGUUUUCGUCUGCUGGGAUACUCACUUCCCGUCAGUGCAUGCUUCACAUUGGAAUUUGUGAUAAGGAUGACCAGACCGGGAUCAGCCAGGGGAACAGCAGUGGCCUCCAAUGAUCUGAGAUGGAUCAGAAAAAAUAGAAAAUAGCAUCUGGAGAAUCUACCUGCAGUCAAUAAGCAACGCAUGGCCCUCUUUGCCUAGCACUGAAAUAAACUGGUCCAUAAUACCACAGGGUACUCCAGCAUGAGUAUGCUCUGCCUUCUGGCAUGCUAGUGC